GAUGAACGCUGACAGAAUGCUUAACACAUGCAAGUCGAUGGGGAAGUGGUGCUUGCACCCUGGUAACCAUGGCGGACGGGUGAGUAACGCGUAAGGAACUUGCCUGCGGGACUGGGAUAACAGCAGGAAACUGCUGAUAAUACCGGAUAAGGUCAUUAAGCUGCAUAGCUUAGUGAUGAAAGGAGACGCCUGCGGAGAGCCUUGCGUCCUAUUAGCUAGUUGGAGGGGUAACGGCCCGCCAAGGCGAAGAUAGGUAGCCGGCCUGAGAGGGUGGACGGCCACAAGGGGACUGAGAUACGGCCCUUACUCCUACGGGAGGCAGCAGUGGGGAAUAUUGGACAAUGGGGGCAACCCUGAUCCAGCAAUUCUGUGUGCACGAAGAAGGUUUUCGGAUUGUAAAGUGCUUUCAGCAGGGAAGAAGGAAGUGACGGUACCUGCAGAAGAAGCGACGGCUAAAUACGUG
This 463-nucleotide ribosomal RNA is filed under the name uncultured bacterium. Its description in RNAcentral is "partial 16S ribosomal RNA". It matches the Rfam family "Bacterial small subunit ribosomal RNA", at positions 28 to 507 of the family's 1533-position model. The record is from RNAcentral.